UUAGACCUAUGAGAAUUUAAUUGGACUUGUUGAAGUUGAGUUGAAUUAAAUUUGAGAUUUGACAAUAUUUUGUUUAUUUUAUUUUGCAUUUAUUUUUAAUUCAAAAAAUACCAAAAAAAUAUGUUUGACUUGUGGACUUGUGAUUUUUAUUUGUCUUCUGUUUAGCAUUGGUUGAUGAUGAUUUGAUUCACUUUUGACCAAUUGUGUCUGAUACUUUAUUUCUCUUUCCAUCCAUUUCAUCUUCAUCCCAU
This 251-nucleotide long non-coding RNA is filed under the name Lathyrus oleraceus (garden pea). RNAcentral's name for it is "Pisum sativum (pea) long non-coding RNA (PSAT_LNC019303)". The record is from RNAcentral. Lineage: Eukaryota; Viridiplantae; Streptophyta; Magnoliopsida; Fabales; Fabaceae.